This 541-nucleotide ribosomal RNA is filed under the name uncultured Desulfobacterium sp. RNAcentral describes it as "partial 16S ribosomal RNA". It matches the Rfam family "Bacterial small subunit ribosomal RNA", at positions 8 to 520 of the family's 1533-position model. The record is from RNAcentral. Lineage: Bacteria; Pseudomonadati; Thermodesulfobacteriota; Desulfobacteria; Desulfobacterales; Desulfobacteriaceae.
AGAGUUUGAUCAUGGCUCAGAAUGAACGCUGGCGGCGUGCUUAACACAUGCAAGUCGCACGAGAACUCUUUAGCUUGCUAAAGAUAGUAAAGUGGCGCACGGGUGAGUAACGCGUGGGUAAUCUUCCYUYMAAWUKGGGRWWAMYYSSCCRAAAGGCGGGCUAAUACCGAAUAACAUCUUUGAAACCUAGGUUUUGAAGAUCAAAGGUGGCCUCUAUUUAUAUGCUACUGUUUGAAGAUGAGCCCGCGUACCAUUAGCUUGUUGGUAGGGUAAUGGCCUACCAAGGCUGCGAUGGUUAGCUGGUCUGAGAGGAUGAUCAGCCACACUGGAACUGACACACGGUCCAGACUCCUACGGGAGGCAGCAGUGAGGAAUUUUGCGCAAUGGGGGAAACCCUGACGCAGCAACGCCGCGUGAGUGAUGAAGGCCUUCGGGUCGUAAAGCUCUGUCAAGUGGGAAGAACCUGAUUAAUGAUAAUACCAUUAAUCAUUGACGGUACCACUGAAGGAAGCACCGGCUAACUCCGUGCCAGCCGCCGCGA